GGGUCGUUAGCUCAGUUGGUAGAGCACUGCACUUUUAAUGCAUUGGUCGAAGGUUCGAAUCCUUCACGACCCACCA
Molecule: transfer RNA, 76 nt
Filed under: Gammaproteobacteria bacterium
Lineage: Bacteria; Pseudomonadati; Pseudomonadota; Gammaproteobacteria
Also listed under: 1 other name
Description: tRNA-Lys
Rfam family: tRNA
About the family: Transfer RNA (tRNA) molecules are approximately 80 nucleotides in length. Their secondary structure includes four short double-helical elements and three loops (D, anti-codon, and T loops).
Source: RNAcentral